AACAACGGAUCUCUUGGUUCUCGC
Molecule: non-coding RNA, 24 nt
Filed under: Drosophila melanogaster (fruit fly)
Lineage: Eukaryota; Metazoa; Arthropoda; Insecta; Diptera; Drosophilidae
Also listed under: 2 other names
Source: RNAcentral